Molecule: ribosomal RNA, 492 nt
Filed under: uncultured bacterium
Lineage: Bacteria
Description: partial 16S ribosomal RNA
Rfam family: Bacterial small subunit ribosomal RNA
Source: RNAcentral
AGUGAACGCUGGCGGUAGGCCUAACACAUGCAAGUCGAACGGCAGCACAGUAAGAGCUUGCUCUUACGGGUGGCGAGUGGCGGACGGGUGAGGAAUACAUCGGAAUCUACUUUUUCGUGGGGGAUAACGUAGGGAAACUUACGCUAAUACCGCAUACGACCUACGGGUGAAAGCAGGGGAUCUUCGGACCUUGCGCGAUUGAAUGAGCCGAUGUCGGAUUAGCUAGUUGGCGGGGUAAAGGCCCACCAAGGCGACGAUCCGUAGCUGGUCUGAGAGGAUGAUCAGCCACCCUGGAACUGGAGCACCGUCCAGACUACUUCGGGAAGCAGCAGUGGGGAAUGUUGGGCAACGGGCGGAAACCUGGUCCAGGCAUUCCGCGUUGGGUGAGGAAGCCCUCCGGGUGGUAAGGCCUUUUGUUGGGUAAAAAAAGCAGCAGGCUGAUACCCCGCCUUUUUGACGGUACCCGAAAAAUAAGCACCGGCUAACUUCGUG